AGGGAUAUAGUAUAGAGGUAGUACAGCGGUCUCCAAAACCGUUAGCGGGGGUUCGAUUCCCUCUAUCCCUGC
This 72-nucleotide transfer RNA is filed under the name Weissella soli. Its description in RNAcentral is "tRNA-Trp". It matches the Rfam family "tRNA". Rfam says of the family: Transfer RNA (tRNA) molecules are approximately 80 nucleotides in length. Their secondary structure includes four short double-helical elements and three loops (D, anti-codon, and T loops). The record is from RNAcentral. Lineage: Bacteria; Bacillati; Bacillota; Bacilli; Lactobacillales; Lactobacillaceae.